This 440-nucleotide ribosomal RNA is filed under the name uncultured bacterium. RNAcentral describes it as "bacterial SSU rRNA". It matches the Rfam family "Bacterial small subunit ribosomal RNA", at positions 338 to 773 of the family's 1533-position model. The record is from RNAcentral.
CCUACGGGGGGCAGCAGUCUAGAGGCUUCGGCAAUGCCCGAAAGGGUGACCGAGCGACGCCGCGUGCGGGAUGAAGGGCUUCGGCUUGUAAACCGCUUUUCUUUGGGAAGAAGGCCUGGUUCGUGAAAUCGGGUUUGACGGUACCAGAGGAAUAAGCCCCGGCUAACUCCGUGCCAGCAGCCGCGGUAAGACGGAGGGGGCAAGCGUUGUUCGGAAUUAUUGGGCGUAAAGGGCUCGUAGGCGGGCCGGUAAGUCUGAUGUGAAAUCUCCACCGCUCAACGGGGAGAGGCCAUUGGAUACUGUCGGCCUGGAGUACGGUAGAGGACCAUGGAAUUCCAGGUGUAGCGGUGGAAUGCGUAGAUAUCUGGAAGAACACCGGUGGCGAAGGCGGUGGUCUGGGCCGUUACUGACGCUGAGGAGCGAAAGCCAGGGGAGCGAAC